CAGGACGAACGCUGGCGGCGUGCCUAAUACAUGCAAGUCGAACGGCUUUUCUAUGGAAGCUUGCUUCCACUGAGAAGAUAGUGGCGAACGGGUGAGUAACACGUGGGUAACCUGCCCAUAAGAGGGGGGAUAACAUCCGGAAACGGGUGCUAAUACCGCAUAGUUUUCUUGAUCGCAUGAUCGGGAAAGGAAAGACGGCCUUUGUGCUGUCGCUUAUGGAUGGACCCGCGGCGUAUUAGUUAGUUGGUGAGGUAACGGCUCACCAAGACGAUGAUACGUAGCCGACCUGAGAGGGUGAUCGGCCACAUUGGGACUGAGACACGGCCCAAACUCCUACGGGAGGCAGCAGUAGGGAAUCUUCCGCAAUGGACGAAAGUCUGACGGAGCAACGCCGCGUGAGUGAAAGAAGGUUUUCGGAUCGUAAAACUCUGUUGUCAGAGAAGAACAAGUUGGAGAGUAACUGCUCCAGCCUUGACGGUAUCUGACCAGAAAGCCACGGCUAACUACGUGCCAGCCGCCGC
Molecule: ribosomal RNA, 521 nt
Filed under: uncultured bacterium
Lineage: Bacteria
Description: bacterial SSU rRNA
Rfam family: Bacterial small subunit ribosomal RNA
Source: RNAcentral